AGGAUCUGCCCUUAGGACUGGGACAACAGCUGGAAACGGCUGCUAAUACCGGAUGUGCCGAGAGGUGAAACAUUUAUGGCCUGAGGAUGAGCUCGCGUCUGAUUAGCUAGUUGGUAGUGUAAUGGACUACCAAGGCGACGAUCAGUAGCUGGUCUGAGAGGAUGACCAGCCACACUGGGACUGAGACACGGCCCAGACUCCUACGGGAGGCAGCAGUGGGGAAUUUUCCGCAAUGGGCGCAAGCCUGACGGAGCAAGACCGCGUGGGGGAAGAAGGUUUGUGGAUUGUAAACCCCUUUUGAUUGGGAAGAAGACAGUGACGGUACCAAUCGAAUCAGCAUCGGCUAACUCCGUGCCAGCAGCCGCGGUAAUACGGAGGAUGCAAGCGUUAUCCGGAAUUAUUGGGCGUAAAGCGUCCGUAGGUGGAAGUUCAAGUCAGUUGUUAAAGCGUGAGGCUUAACCUCAUAAGGGCAAUUGAAACUGAGCAUCUAGAGUGCGAUAGGGGCAAGGGGAAUUCCCAGUGUAGCGGUGAAAUGCGUAGAUAUUGGGAAGAACACCGGUGGCGAAAGCGCCUUGCUGGGUCUGCACUGACACUGAGGGACGAAAGCUAGGGGAGCG
This 617-nucleotide ribosomal RNA is filed under the name Leptolyngbya sp. P3. RNAcentral describes it as "bacterial SSU rRNA". It matches the Rfam family "Bacterial small subunit ribosomal RNA", at positions 120 to 770 of the family's 1533-position model. The record is from RNAcentral. Lineage: Bacteria; Bacillati; Cyanobacteriota; Cyanophyceae; Leptolyngbyales; Leptolyngbyaceae.